RNAcentral lists this ribosomal RNA (408 nucleotides) under uncultured archaeon. RNAcentral's name for it is "bacterial SSU rRNA". It matches the Rfam family "Archaeal small subunit ribosomal RNA", at positions 462 to 870 of the family's 1478-position model. The record is from RNAcentral.
CCGCCGCGGUAACACCAGCAGCCCAAGUGGUGACCACGAUUAUUGGGCCUAAAGCGCUCGUAGCCGGAUCAGCAAGUCCCUUGUGAAAUCGGGCCGCCUAACGGUUCGGCGUGCAAGGGAUACUGUUGGUCUUGAGGCCGGGAGAGGUCGGAGGUACUCCUGGGGUAGCGGUGAAAUGCUCUAAUCCUAGGGGGACCACCAGUGGCGAAGGCGUCCGACCAGAACGGACCUGACGGUGAGGGGCGAAGGCUAGGGGAGCGAACGGGAUUAGAUACCCCGGUAGUCCUAGCUGUAAAGCAUGCGGGCCAGGUGUCUAGCGCUCCUCGAGGGCGCUAGGUGCCGGAGGGAAGCCGUUAAGCCCGCCGCCUGGGAAGUAGGCCGCAAGGCUGAAACUUAAAGGAAUUGGCG